This 425-nucleotide ribosomal RNA is filed under the name uncultured bacterium. RNAcentral describes it as "partial 16S ribosomal RNA". It matches the Rfam family "Bacterial small subunit ribosomal RNA", at positions 354 to 796 of the family's 1533-position model. The record is from RNAcentral.
GUGGGGAAUCUUGCGCAAUGGGCGAAAGCCUGACGCAGCCAUGCCGCGUGAAUGAUGAAGGUCUUAGGAUUGUAAAAUUCUUUCACCGGGGACGAUAAUGACGGUACCCGGAGAAGAAGCCCCGGCUAACUUCGUGCCAGCAGCCGCGGUAAUACGAAGGGGGCUAGCGUUGCUCGGAAUUACUGGGCGUAAAGGGCGCGUAGGCGGAUCGGUAAGUCAGGGGUGAAAUCCGAGAGCUCAACUCUGGAACUGCCCUUGAUACUGGCGAUCUUGAGUGUGAGAGAGGUAUGUGGAACUCCGAGUGUAGAGGUGAAAUUCGUAGAUAUUCGGAAGAACACCAGUGGCGAAGGCGACAUACUGGCUCAUUACUGACGCUGAGGCGCGAAAGCGUGGGGAGCAAACAGGAUUAGAAACCCGAGUAGUCC